UACGGGGGAUGCAAGCGUUAUCCGGAUUUAUUGGGUUUAAAGGGUGCGUAGGCGGGCUGUUAAGUCAGCGGUCAAAUGUCGGGGCUCAACCCCGGCCUGCCGUUGAAACUGGCUUGCUAGAGUGGGCGAGAAGUAUGCGGAAUGCGUGGUGUAGCGGUGAAAUGCAUAGAUAUCACGCAGAACUCCGAUUGCGAAGGCAGCAUACCGGCGCCCAACUGACGCUCAGGCACGAAAGCGUGGGUAUCGAACAGG
This 252-nucleotide ribosomal RNA is filed under the name uncultured Bacteroidales bacterium. RNAcentral's name for it is "partial 16S ribosomal RNA". It matches the Rfam family "Bacterial small subunit ribosomal RNA", at positions 524 to 776 of the family's 1533-position model. The record is from RNAcentral. Lineage: Bacteria; Pseudomonadati; Bacteroidota; Bacteroidia; Bacteroidales.